GGGUGGUUGGCAUAGCGGCUCGUGCAGCGAACUUUUAAUUCGCACUAGAGAGGUUCGACUCCUCUACCGCCCA
RNAcentral lists this transfer RNA (73 nucleotides) under Aliterella atlantica CENA595. It matches the Rfam family "tRNA". From Rfam's summary of the family: Transfer RNA (tRNA) molecules are approximately 80 nucleotides in length. Lineage: Bacteria; Bacillati; Cyanobacteriota; Cyanophyceae; Chroococcidiopsidales; Aliterellaceae. The record is from Rfam by way of RNAcentral. RNAcentral also lists the same sequence under 1 other name.